GAAGAGAGGAGAUAAGGGCGGUGAUUGGGCAUAAGGGGAGCCACGCCCACCAUGCCAACGUUUCUGCGCAUGCUCCGCGCCUCGGCUUCUGGUAUUUUCGACGCGUUUGCGAGCGCCCGUCCAGUCCAGGUCUGGAGGUCGGAGAGGGAGUUCGAGAGCUUCCUUUUCUCAAGAGCAGCUUCGAAAAGCCUCUCUUUGUCCUCAACUUCGAAAGGAGGGCGUCUUUUGGUCCUUUACUUUCACUUUUGGUGUGGCGUCGGCGGCCUCUGGUGGCGCCGAGUGUCCGGGCAGGGAUACUCUGAGACAGAGGGAAGCUUGCAGUCUCGGGCCGAGAUGUCCCAGUACGUGAACGACCUGUGGCCGGGCUCGCCGCAGCACAAGGAGUCCCUCUCGACGUCUCGGUCGGUCAGGUCCAGCCGCCUGUCCUCGGCAUCCAGGAGCCGCUCGUCUUCCGGGAGCUCUCGGUCGCGCUCAGGCGGCUCGAGUCGGGCGUCGUCGCGGAGUCGGAGCCGGUCCUGGAGGAGGAGGAGGUCCAGGUCCUGGUCUAGGAGGCGCCACCAGAGGAAGUACAGGCGCUACUCGCGCUCCUACUCGCGCAGCCGGUCACGCUCCCGCGGCCGCCAGUAUCGCGACAGGCGCUACAGCGCGUCCAGAAGAUACGGCCGGUCGCCGUCGGGGCCCCGCUCCCGCAGCCGGUCCCGCUCGCGGGGACGUUCGUAUUAUCGACGGGCCUACGCGCUCCCGCGGGGGCGGCGAUACUACGGCUUCGGCCGCACCCUGUACCCGGAGGAACGCGGAAGUUGGAGGGGCGGGUCCCGGGGCAGGUCCCGGACCCGGUCGCGGAGCCCCACCCCUUUUCGCUUAAGUGAGAAAGAUCGAAUGGAGCUGUUAGAAAUAGCAAAAGCCAAUGCAGCAAAAGCUUUAGGAACCACUAACUUUGACUUGCCCGCUAGUCUCAGAAAAGUUCUUGCAUCUAAAGAGACGAACUGUGGAACAGCUGUACCAAACAGUGAUGCAAAGUUUGAGGUAAGUAUUCUAGGUUUAUCCAGAGUCUUCAGAAAGCUGCUAUUAGGAAAAUGUAAUUAGCCACUUUUUUUUUUUUAAUCUUAGAGUGCUUCUUGAAAAGCCUAAAUAUAAUUUAAGAUCAAAGUAGAAGCUCCAGAAAGGGUCUCUCCCCCAUGAUAAUGGGAAAUUAGUGAUCUUUAUUUUCAUAUGACACAAUACUAAUUAGUUUCAUAGUUGUAGGUGGUAUUUGGCAAUUCUGUGUAGCUAUUCAGUUUUUCUAACUAGCCUUUACAGAGUAUUUUAUCUGUAGCUUUCAUUUGCAGCAUUAUGUUCCCACAAAUUCUGUAUUCAACAUACAGUAUAGUUUAUCUGCUUUAUUUCUGUCUUAUAGAAAUCAUGAAUGUGGUCUCCAGACAUUGAUGAAGAAAAUCUGUUGCUGUCGGGAAAACUAGGAGAAGAUGGAACUAAAAAUCCCAGUGAAAAGCCUUCCCAGCAAAAAAGCAUAGCUUUUAGCUCUAAUAAUUCUGUAGCAAAGCCAGUGCUUCAGAAGUCUACUAAAGCUACUGCUGAAGAGACCUCUUCAGGAUCCCCCAAAAUAGAUAAGAA
Molecule: RNA transcript, 1611 nt
Organism: Lutra lutra (Eurasian river otter)
Lineage: Eukaryota; Metazoa; Chordata; Mammalia; Carnivora; Mustelidae
Gene: RSRP1
Gene name: arginine and serine rich protein 1
Exons: 5
Source: RefSeq, a predicted model, not a curated record